Molecule: long non-coding RNA, 2259 nt
Filed under: Salmo salar (Atlantic salmon)
Lineage: Eukaryota; Metazoa; Chordata; Actinopteri; Salmoniformes; Salmonidae
Description: lncRNA (ENSSSAG00000097419.1)
Source: RNAcentral
UGCGUCCAGAAUACCACAGUUUUACUGCAGUUACUGCGUCCAGAAUACCACAGUCUACUGCAGUUACUGCGUCCAGAAUACCACAGUCUACUGCAGUUACUGCGCCCAGAAUACCACAGUAAUACACCAUACAGUAAGACUGGCUACUCUACUAUAAUACACCAUACAGUAAGGCUGGCUACUCUACUGUAAUACACCAUACAGUAAGACUGGCUACUCUACUGUAAUACACCAUACAGUAAGACUGGCUACUCUACUGUAAUACACCAUACAGUAAGGCUGGCUACUCUACUGUAAUACACCAUACAGUAAGACUGGCUACUCUACUAUAAUACACCAUACAGUAAGACUGGCUACUCUACUGUAAUACACCAUACAGUUAGACUGGCUACUAUAAUACACCAUACAGUAAGACUGGCUACUCUACUGUAAUACACCAUACAGUAAGGCUGGCUACUAUAAUACACCAUACAGUAAGACUGGCUACUCUACUGUAAUACACCAUACAGUAAGACUGGCUACUCUACUGUAAUACACCAUGCAGACUGGCUACUCUACUGUAAUACACCAUACAGUAAGGCUGGCUACUCUACUGUAAUACACCAUACAGUAAGACUUGCUACUCUACUGUAAUACACCAUACAGUAAGACUUGCUACUCUACUGUAAUACACCAUACAGUAAGGCUGACUACUCUACUGUAAUACACCAUACAGUAAGACUUGCUACUCUACUGUAAUACACCAUACAGUAAGGCUGGCUACUCUACUGUAAUACACCAUACAGUAAGACUUGCUACUCUACUAUAAUACACCAUACAGUAAGACUGGCUACUCUACUGUAAUACACCAUACAGUAAGACUGGCUACUCUACUGUAAACACACAGUCCAGUUCAUAGUGAAUGAUGGCAGGCCCUACUGCCUGUAAACACACAGUCCAGUUCAUAGUGAAUGAUGACAGGUCCUACUGCCUGUAAACACAGUCCAGUUCAUAGUGAAUGAUGGCAGGUCCUACUGCCUGUAAACACAGUCCAGUUCAUAGUGAAUGAUGGCAGGUCCUACUGCCUGUAAACACACAGUCCAGUUCAUAGUGAAUGAUGGCAGGUCCUACUGCCUGUAAACACACAGUCCAGUUCAUAGUGAAUGAUGGCAGGUCCUACUGCCUGUAAACACACAGUCCAGUUCAUAGUGAAUGAUGGCAGGUCCUACUGCCUGUAAACACAGUCCAGUUCAUAGUGAAUGAUGGCAGGUCCUACUGCCUGUAAACACAGUCCAGUUCAUAGUGAAUUAUGACAGGCCCUACUGCCUGUAAACACACAGUCCAGUUCAUAGUGAAUUAUGACAGGCCCUACUGCCUGUAAACACACAGUCCAGUUCAUAGUGAAUGAUGGCAGGUCCUACUGCCUGUAAACACACAGUCCAGUUCAUAGUGAAUGAUGGCAGGUCCUACUGCCUGUAAACACACAGUCCAGUUCAUAGUGAAUGAUAACAGGUCCUACUGCCUGUAAACACAGUCCAGUUCAUAGUGAAUGAUGACAGGUCCUACUGUAAACACACAGUCCAGUUCAUAGUGAAUGAUGGCAGGUCCUACUGUAAACACACAGUCCAGUUCAUAGUGAAUGAUGGCAGGUCCUACUGCCUGUAAACACACAGUCCAGUUCAUAGUGAAUGAUGGCAGGUCCUACUGCCUGUAAACACACAGUCCAGUUCAUAGUGAAUGAUGGCAGGUCCUACUGCCUGUAAACACACAGUCCAGUUCAUAGUGAAUGAUGACAGGUCCUACUGCCUGUAAACACAGUCCAGUUCAUAGUGAAUUAUGACAGGCCCUACUGCCUGUAAACACACAGUCCAGUUCAUAGUGAAUGAUGGCAGGUCCUACUGCCUGUAAACACACAGUCCAGUUCAUAGUGAAUGAUGACAGGCUUGUGUGGCAUAUGGCUAAUUUGCAUAUAGACCUACUGUAGCUCUGAUUGGCUAUGAACCACCGGUCUGCAGUAGACUCCGGUCCUGGACGAGACAGAUAUUUUUAUUAAGGUUUAUUUACUGCAGUGUCUUAAUUGUCCAAACGCACGACCACUUUCUCACUCUACAUUCACAAAACCUUACUCUACGUCAUUCCCAAACACUCUAUGAAUUUAUGAAAAGGUUAAAAUGACCAUAUCUAAGUGCUCGCUUGACAGAAAAUAUUAAAAACAGGUGUCGUAGUCUUCCUGGGGUUGUACACGAACACAUUUUAAUAAGAUUUCAUGUAGGAGAGAAG